Molecule: transfer RNA, 86 nt
Filed under: Nematostella vectensis (starlet sea anemone)
Lineage: Eukaryota; Metazoa; Cnidaria; Anthozoa; Actiniaria; Edwardsiidae
Rfam family: tRNA
About the family: Transfer RNA (tRNA) molecules are approximately 80 nucleotides in length.
Source: Rfam by way of RNAcentral
CCUUCGAUAGCUCAGUUGGUAGAGCGGGGGACUGUAGAUUUAUAAUUGUGAUCCCUAGAUCGCUGGUUCGAAUCCGGCUCGAAGGA